RNAcentral lists this ribosomal RNA (432 nucleotides) under uncultured bacterium. RNAcentral's name for it is "bacterial SSU rRNA". It matches the Rfam family "Bacterial small subunit ribosomal RNA", at positions 29 to 507 of the family's 1533-position model. The record is from RNAcentral.
AACGAACGCUGGCGGCAGGCCUAACACAUGCAAGUCGAACGCUCUAGCAAUAGAGAGUGGCAGACGGGUGAGUAACGCGUGGGAACCUUCCCAGUGGUGCGGAAUAGCUCAGGGAAACUUGGGGUAAUACCGCAUGAGCCCGAAAGGGGAAAGAUUUAUCGCCAUUGGAUGGGCCCGCGUAGGAUUAGCUAGUUGGUGAGGUAAUGGCUCACCAAGGCAACGAUCCUUAGCUGGUUUGAGAGAAUGACCAGCCACACUGGGACUGAGACACGGCCCAGACUCCUACGGGAGGCAGCAGUGGGGAAUAUUGGACAAUGGGCGCAAGCCUGAUCCAGCCAUGCCGCGUGAGUGACGAAGGCCUUAGGGUUGUAAAGCUCUUUUGGCGGGGACGAUAAUGACGGUACCCGCAGAAUAAGCCCGGCUAACUUCGUG